UACGGGGGGGGCAAGCGUUGUUCGGAAUUACUGGGCGUAAAGGGCUCGUAGGUGGCCAACUAAGUCAGACGUGAAAUCCCUCGGCUUAACCGGGGAACUGCGUCUGAUACUGGAUGGCUUGAGUUUGGGAGAGGGAUGCGGAAUUCCAGGUGUAGCGGUGAAAUGCGUAGAUAUCUGGAGGAACACCGAUGGCGAAGGCAGCUGCCUGGCCCAGAACUGACGCUGAGGUGCGAAAGCGUGGGGAGCGAACGGG
This 253-nucleotide ribosomal RNA is filed under the name uncultured bacterium. Its description in RNAcentral is "partial 16S ribosomal RNA". It matches the Rfam family "Bacterial small subunit ribosomal RNA", at positions 524 to 776 of the family's 1533-position model. The record is from RNAcentral.